UACGUAGGGUGCGAGCGUUGUCCGGAAUUACUGGGCGUAAAGCGCACGUAGUCGGCUUGUCAAGUCGGGUGUGAAAUCCCCGGGCUCAACCUGGGAACUGCAUCCGAAACUGACUUGCUAGAGUAUGGGAGAGGGAGGCGGAAUUUCUGGUGUAGCAGUGAAAUGCGUAGAUAUCAGAAGGAACAUCAGUGGCGAAGGCGGCCUCCUGGACCAAUACUGACGAUCAGGUGCGAAAGCGUGGGGAGCAAACAGG
This 253-nucleotide ribosomal RNA is filed under the name uncultured bacterium. RNAcentral describes it as "partial 16S ribosomal RNA". It matches the Rfam family "Bacterial small subunit ribosomal RNA", at positions 524 to 776 of the family's 1533-position model. The record is from RNAcentral.